This is a long non-coding RNA of Lathyrus oleraceus (garden pea), 5128 nucleotides long. RefSeq lists it as uncharacterized. The record is from RefSeq and is a predicted model, not a curated record. The transcript is spliced from 2 exons. Lineage: Eukaryota; Viridiplantae; Streptophyta; Magnoliopsida; Fabales; Fabaceae.
AUAAAUUUAUUGAAAAUACAGACAAAUUGGUUAAAUCAUUUCUCAAGAACAUGUAAAAUCAGCGGGUAAAAAGUUUCAAAUUUAAAAUUGCAGACACCAUUAUUAUUAAUCUACUGUUCACGUAGUUUAACUUGGUGUGCUCGUUGUAUUUUUUUAGCGACUGUUUCGAUUACAUUUUGACCCGCCUAAGCCUUUUGACCGGUGCAAAUUUAUUUCAGAAUUUGAGGAAACGCUGUAUUUUUUCAAUAAGUAUAUUUUGUGCUGAUCAUUUUAGUGUGUUUGAUUUAAUUUUUCGAGCAAAUUUAUAUCCGACUUAUAUUUAUAAUCGAUCACUAUUUUUAUUAGGUUAACAAAUCAAAAUAGUUAUUAGAAAUUUUUAAUAGGAUUUUUUAUAAUAGUAAUUGUUUUCCUCAAAAAUAAAAUAAAAUUUACAUUGGAUUCUCUUUUUUUGACAGCUGGUAUCCAGCUUGCGUAUCUCUUACCUUCACGCUACCUCCAUCUCUCUCAACACACGCCACCUAUCACCUCACUCACUUUAACUCUUUCUCAGUCUCACCUCAUUCAUAUAACCCACUCACUAUUCAGUACCUCACACUCAGAGACUCUCAACGAAAAGAAAAGAAAAGGAUACUCUUCUCUCUCAUUGGCUAAAAAAAACCCAACAGACACAAGAAAAGGGUUCUUUCUGAAUGUCUUCUUCUUUCUCCUUCCGUCGGCACACAACCGCACCACAAUAUUCGCUUCACUCCCUCAGUUUUCUUCAACUCGCUGUCUUGCCUUCACCAUCAUAAAACAACCCAUCACUCUGAACAUUCAGCGACGCCGGCGACGACCUUCUUCCAGUCGCCGGAAACCCACACAAACCUUCUGCUUCACCGCUCACCACCACCUUUAUCGUCUUCACCGAUGAAAAACCAAGCUCACCAAUACGAUUAUCCCUUUCUCAUUCUCAAUCGCCGAAAUCCCCUUUGAACCCUCUUCCGCCACCAAACAAACAACCGAAACCACUUCUCUAUUGGUCUGCCGAUCUACAUCGUGAACGACUUUCUCUUCAAAUCCCAACCACGAAACUCGGUCCGAUUCGAAGAGCUACCGCGCAUUAACCUUGUUAUUUUUGGACAGAACUCCAUCCAACUAACAACGACGCCGUGUUGACAUUCCGUUUCAGCAACACGAACCAACAACAACAUUGUUUCUGUUUCCGAACUCAACCGCACCACCAAUGGUAUUGAAUCUGCAUCUCACGCUGUCAACCUCUCUUCAACGGUAAGUUACUCCGUCUUCAUCGUCAUUAUUGUGUGUAACGAUGCUCAAUGUCUCGAGCUCAAUACGGAAAACAACUGGAUAUGCAGCAAGAUCAACGUCAUCCAUCGAGGUUCAAGUGGUUUUUUUUCAAUUUGAUUAUCUCUGUUUACCAUGUUCUAAUUUAUUUUUCAUUUGCUGUUUGUGCGUAUCAUGUCGGCAUUUUCCGUUUCAUUCUUUUAGUGUUUAAUAUGUAUGUCACUGGUUUAAGUAUGUUGUUGUUGUUUUCAACAUGUUAUGAUUCUCGAAUGUACAGGUUUCGGUUUUGCUCAGUUUCAUAUUAAUCUUGCUAGGGGCUUCUGUUGAGCUAAGGUGGUGAUAUUUAUUUGGGUCAAUUCAGAUUGGGUUAGUGUUUUUGUAUUGCUGUGCGUAUUUCGGUUAUCUAUUGUGGUCUGAUUAUUCCAUGUUUGCGCUGGAUUUUGAUGCUAUAAUAAUGAUGGUGUGACACUUAUGCAAUGUUGAGAAUAUAUUUUGUGUUGAUAUUAGUUUGACUUGCAUGUAAAUUACAAUCACUCUCUUGUGUUAACACCAUCUUAAAUUUAUAACAUGCUUAUAUAUUGGUAUGCUUAGACUUUACGUUUGACAGUUUUGUUAUGAAUCUUCAUAUGCCGUCAUUUUUCAUACUAAGAAAAUAGUACACUCACUUUUUCAGCUAGAAACCUCCUUUGAGUUUAAUAUUAGUCAUGGCAUGAGAAGAUGUUAUUGAUUUAAGUUAUUUAGGACUUGUUUGGUUUGAGAUAAUGUUUCUUGUGUUUACUAAUAAUUACAAGUUUCUACAAAAUUAUUACUUCAUUGUUUCCAAAAAUAAUUAAAAGGUUUUCAUUGUUUCAUAUACAAACACACGUAUUUGAAGUAGGGAGUGCAAUGAAAAUAAGGUGGUUACUUUUGUAAGUGUUAAUGAAAACUAGAAAUGAACAUAAGGAAUUUUAAUUGUAAUAAAAUAUGCUGAAGUUAGCCAUGAAUAUUCUAAUAAGUAAACUCACAUGUUAUAGUUGGGGCCAAUUGCAUUAUGUUGUUUUUCUUUUUGACUGAAAAAGUAUUUUAUGAGAAUAUUUUAUGAGAUCUUUCAAUGUGGGAUGUUGGCUACUUAGGACUCGUUGUAGUGUCUUUUCACCUUGAAAAGUAUUGAGUAAAAUUAUUAGGAUGUAAAUAUUUGAUUAUCUACUCAAUUUUGUCAAGUUUUACAGAAUUAUUUCCAUAUACCAAGAGAAAGGUUCCUAACAUGAGUGCAGCUAACUUAUUUUAAUAGAAUGUAACUUUCUUUAUUUUAGAUUGGUCCACCUAAAUAAAACCAAAUUUCCAAAAUCAAACAAUUCUCGAUUCAAUGUCGACUCCGGUUUCAAAUACCUUUGUAGGUCGAUUGCUCUCUAGCAUUGCCAUCAACCUCACAUAGCUUACUCUUGGGCUUUCUUACAAUGAGACCUAUUCGGUUAUUGAAUAAUCGAGUAGAUGAUUGAUUCACUAAAUAAAAAUCCAAUCACUUCACAAAAACACGAAUUUAAAACCUCGAUCCAACAUCGAGUAUUUCUAUUAAAGUUAAAUUAAAAUAUCUAAUCACAAUCAAAUACUGUUUCACUUAGAAAUAAAAAGGGGGAUGGUUUUGAGUUUUCAACUCCUCUCCUCGAUUAUUUGAAUACGAGUUCUUUUACUUGGUUAGUCAAAUAGUCGUCAUUUCUAUCCACAUAAGCACAAACAAAUCGAAUCAUUUCAUAAUAAGAAAUGAAAAGGGAGACGACUUUGAGUCUUCAAUUUCCCUCCUCGAUUAUUUGAAUACAAGUUCUCUUACUUGGUUAGUCAAAUAAUUGUCGUUCCUCUACAAACUUCCAAACCCGAUUAAAUUGAAAUAUUUUCACAAUAAGCUAAAUGAAAAGGGAGUUGACUUUGAAUUUUCAAUUUCAUUCCUCAAUUGUUUGAAUACGAGUUUUCUUACUCGGUCAGUCGAACAAUUGUCAUUUUUUACAAACAUACAACUUAGUCAAAUCAUUUCCAUAACAGACUGUACGAAAAGGGAGAUGGUCUUGAGUUUUCAAUUCCUCUUCUCAAAUGCUUGGAUAUGAGUUGUCUUACUCAGUCAUUCGAGCACUUGUCGUUUAUUCUAAAAAUACAUCGACCAUACAUAAACAUAUUUCUAUAAUCACUUAGAUGAAAGAGAAAAUGGUCUAGAGUUUUCUAUUUCUUUUCCCGAUUAUUAGGAUACGAGUUGUCUUACUCGAUUAUCCGAGUAUUCGUCAUCCGUUCAAAACACUUUAAUUAUUAUCAAAUCCUUUCUAUAAUUAAGGAUGAAAAAGAAAGCGGUCUAGAGUCUUCUACUCCCUUUCCCGACUGUUAGGAUACGAGUUGUCUUACUCGACCAUCUGAGUGAUCGUCAUCCAACCAAAAACAUCUCAAUAAAUCAAAACAUUCAACGUAUUAAUCUAACUUGUCACCCCCGUGUGACCAAAACUCUUUUCAGAAAGAACACUGUUAAUCCUUUCUAAUGCGCACAACAAACCAAUGCUUAAGCCUCCGCCGAGAGUAGACAAGCCAACGUUUAGCCUUUAGGAUGCGAUCUAAACAGUCGUUCAUUAAAAGACACCAACCAAUCGUAGUCCCCGAACUACGAAUGCUCUGAUUUCCUUAUUGCACCAUAAGGAUACGUAGGCAGGAGAUUGCUGUAUCUUCGCGAGCACACUAAUAAAAAAAACCUCCCUUUUCCCUUUCUGAGGUUCCCAUCAAUUUCUAUUUUUAUAACCCAAAGAUAACAAACAAACAUAAAUUAACACUCGAAACACAAUUUAGAACUAAAAGGUUCCCGUUGAGUACAACGGACGUAAGGGGUGCUAAUACCUUCCCCUUACGUAAUCCACUCCCGAACCCGAAUAUGGUUGCGACGACCAUUAUUCCAUUUCCUAAAGGUUUUAUCGAUAUUUUCCUAUUCCUUCAUUGGGAUAAAUAAAGUUCGGUGGCGACUCUGUUAGAACUUAAUUUUUUCCGCGACCAUCGCGAGGAAUCGUAUUUUUCGAGAUGCGACAGUGAAGCAAUGACCUGUUGAUCAAUCACACUGAAUCAACAAUCGAGGUGUGUUUGACGGUCUGAAAUUAGCGCAUUAGGGUUGGUGACGGUGCAAGGGUUGUGCCGUCAAAGAGUUGUGAAUUUAGGGCUUUUUGGAACACGUCUCUUGACUGUUUCAAAAUUUCUGUAAUUUGGCCACGUGACGUUCGUCACGAGCUUGUGACGAUCGUAACAAGCUGGACGUGAAGGUCGUCACGUGCUUUGUGACGGUCGUCACGUGCUUUGUGGCGAUCGGAACCACCGUCCGCUGAUCGGGCAGCGGAACCCCCGACUAACUCUGCGUAGUGUGAUCGGUCACCGAAAUUUAAUUUGGUUUUAAUUAAUUAAAGGAAUUAAAAAUUAAUAAUAAUAAUGUGUUUGUUAUUAUUGCCUUGUUGUGAUCAGUUAUGGCCUUAGUCUUACUUCAUUUUGUUUUGGGUUUUUAAAUACGACCUGCGUGUCGUGCCUCUCCUUUUACUCUUAGUGUAACUUCUUUUCUCAUCUCAAUCCCUCGUAUGUAAAACGAGUUUCUUCUGUAAUGUAAUGAUAUGAAGAAAGAGAAGAAUUCAAUAUCAGAGGAGAAUAAUGAUAUGAAGAAAGAGAAGAAUUCAAUAUCAAUGGAGGACAACCUUGAAGAUCUUGCUUGGAGAAGCUUAGAUCGUUAUUAAGUUAGCUUAGGUUCUCUCAUUGGCUUGGGAGAACAAUUGCACUAGGGGCCAUAACUGUUCCAUUAUGUAUGUUGAUGCAUGUGUAUGUAUGUUGAUGCAUGUGAAUAUAUGUUGAUGCAUGUGAGAGA